UACGGGGGGUGCGAGCGUUGUCCGGAAUCACUGGGCGUAAAGGGCGCGUAGGCGGCCUGAUAAGUAGGGGGUGAAAUCCUGAGGCUUAACCUCAGGGCUGCCUUCUAAACUGUCGGGCUCGAGCACAGUAGAGGCAGGUGGAAUUCCCGGUGUAGCGGUGGAAUGCGUAGAGAUCGGGAAGAACAUCAGUGGCGAAGGCGGCCUGCUGGGCUGUUGCUGACGCUGAGGCGCGACAGCGUGGGGAGCAAACAGG
Molecule: ribosomal RNA, 253 nt
Filed under: uncultured bacterium
Lineage: Bacteria
Description: partial 16S ribosomal RNA
Rfam family: Bacterial small subunit ribosomal RNA
Source: RNAcentral